This is a long non-coding RNA of Homo sapiens (human), 811 nucleotides long. Ensembl annotates it as PDE7B antisense RNA 1. Its record names the gene PDE7B-AS1. The record is from Ensembl. NCBI's taxonomy places the organism in Eukaryota, Metazoa, Chordata, Mammalia, Primates, Hominidae.
GCUCUGCCCUCCGUGAAUGGAACUAUAAAAAAGGUUGAAGGGAGCUGGCUUGCCCCUUGCACCACAAGAGGACACAUAGAAGGUGCUGUCUUAUGAGGCAGAGAGCAUGCCCUCCCCAGACAGAGAACCUGUUGGCACCUUGAUCUUGGACUUCCCAGCCUCUAGAACCACAGGUUGUUAAACUGAACCAUCUUGACUGGCCCCAGCCAAGUUUCUUACAGUGGAAAUGGCACAUUAACUAUGCAGCUGUCAUGAGAGAAGUCAGUACUCUUAGAUUCUAACCCAAAAGAAUUCAAAUAUAUUGGAUUUCCUCUCCUGUUCAAUUGGAAUUCAAGGACUUAAUCCACUUUUAAUUACACUGUUCCUGUUGUUGCAUCAAAAGUGGCAUCUAGUGUGGGAAGAACUGUUUGCUUAGAAAAACAUGGAGGGCCAGUGUGGUGGCUCACAACUGUAAUCCCAGCACUUUGGGAGGCAGAGGCAGGAGGAUCCCCUGAGGCCAGGAACUCAAGACCAGCCUGGGCAACGUAGCAAGACCAUGUCUCUACAAAAAUAAAAAAAUUAGCUGGGUGUGGUGGUGUGCAUCCAUAGUCCCAGCUACUUGGGAGGCAGAGGAGGAAGGAUUGCUUGAGCCUAGGAGUUCAAGGCUGCAGUGAGCUGUGAUUGAGCCACUGCACUCCAGCCUGGGUGACAGAGCAAGACCUCAUUUCAAAAACAAACAAACAAACAAAACAGGCAAUCUAAGUACUGGAAGAAAUGUGAGUUGGCGAUGUAAGAAGGAUAGACUGUUCUGAGACUAUGGCGACAACCUGUG